AAUGAACGCUGGCGGCGCGCCUAAUACAUGCAAGUCGAGCGAGAAGACGUAGCAAUACGUUUGUAAAGCGGCGAACGGGUGAGGAAUACAUGGGUAACCUACCCUCGAGUGGGGAAUAACUAGCCGAAAGGUUAGCUAAUACCGCGUACGCUUCUUGGACUUCGGUUCAGGGAGGAAAGCGAUGCCGAGGGUAUCGCGCUCUUGGAUGGGCUCAUGUCCUAUCAGCUUGUUGGGAGGUACGCUC
Molecule: ribosomal RNA, 244 nt
Filed under: uncultured bacterium
Lineage: Bacteria
Description: partial 16S ribosomal RNA
Rfam family: Bacterial small subunit ribosomal RNA
Source: RNAcentral